GAGGCGACCUGGCCGCCGGCCGCUCCUCCGCGCGCUGUUCCGCACUUGCUGCCCUCGCCCGGCCCGGAGCGCCGCUGCCAUGCGGCUGGCGCUGCUCUGGGCUCUGGGGCUCCUGGGCGCGGGCAGCCCUCUGCCUUCCUGGCCGCUCCCAAAUAUAGCCCUGCUGUCAAUUCCCUCAGUACUGUCUUGGGGUGUCCUGGGACCUGCAGGUGGCACUGAGGAGCAGCAGGCAGAGUCAGAGAAGGCCCCGAGGGAGCCCUUGGAGCCCCAGGUCCUUCAGGACGAUCUCCCAAUUAGCCUCAAAAAGGUGCUUCAGACCAGUCUGCCUGAGCCCCUGAGGAUCAAGUUGGAGCUGGACGGUGACAGUCAUAUCCUGGAGCUGCUACAGAAUAGGGAGUUGGUCCCAGGCCGCCCAACCCUGGUGUGGUACCAGCCCGAUGGCACUCGGGUGGUCAGUGAGGGACACACUCUGGAGAACUGCUGCUACCAGGGAAGAGUGCGGGGAUAUGCAGGCUCCUGGGUGUCCGUCUGCACCUGCUCUGGGCUCAGAGGCUUGGUGGUCCUGACCCCAGAGAGAAGCUAUACCCUGGAGCAGGGGCCUGGGGACCUUCAGGGUCCUCCCAUUAUUUCGCGAAUCCAAGAUCUCCACCUGCCAGGCCACACCUGUGCCCUGAGCUGGCGGGAAUCUGUACACACUCAGACGCCACCAGAGCACCCCCUGGGACAGCGCCACAUUCGCCGGAGGCGGGAUGUGGUAACAGAGACCAAGACUGUGGAGUUGGUGAUUGUGGCUGAUCACUCGGAGGUGAGCCUGCUGGCCCCUGCACAUCCUCCUCCCCCUGCACUGCCCUGCCGCCUUUCAUGUCACCUCUCUUGGCCUACAGGCCCAGAAAUACCAGGACUUCCAGCACCUGCUAAACCGCACACUGGAAGUGGCUCUCUUGCUGGACACAGUGAGUGCUGGACAGAGCAACCCCCACCCCAGGCCCCUGACCAUGACAACCCCUCUUCUGAGCCCCAGCUGUCUUUCAGUUCUUCCAGCCCCUGAAUGUACGAGUGGCACUAGUGGGCCUGGAGGCCUGGACCCAGCGUGACCUGGUGGAGAUCAGCCCAAACCCAGCUGUCACCCUCGAAAACUUCCUCCACUGGCGCAGGGCACAUUUGCUGCCUCGAUUGCCCCAUGACAGUGCCCAGCUGGUGACUGGUACUUCAUUCUCUGGGCCUACGGUGGGCAUGGCCAUUCAGAACUCCAUCUGUUCUCCUGACUUCUCAGGAGGUGUGAACAUGGACCACUCCACCAGCAUCCUGGGAGUCGCCUCCUCCAUAGCCCAUGAGUUGGGCCACAGCCUGGGCCUGGACCAUGAUUUGCCUGGGAAUAGCUGCCCCUGUCCAGGUCCAGCCCCAGCCAAGACCUGCAUCAUGGAGGCCUCCACAGACUUCCUACCAGGCCUGAAUUUCAGCAACUGCAGCCGACGGGCCCUGGAGAAAGCCCUCCUGGAUGGAAUGGGCAGCUGCCUCUUUGAACGGCUGCCUAGCCUACCCACUAUGGCUGCUUUCUGCGGAAAUAUGUUUGUGGAGCCGGGCGAGCAGUGUGACUGUGGCUUCCUGGAUGACUGCAUCGAUCCCUGCUGUGAUUCCUCGACCUGCCAGCUGAGGCCAGGUGCACAGUGUGCAUCUGACGGACCCUGUUGUCAAAAUUGCCAGCUGCGCCCGUCUGGCUGGCAGUGUCGUCCUACCAGAGGGGAUUGUGACUUGCCUGAAUUCUGCCCAGGAGACAGCUCCCAGUGUCCCCCUGAUGUCAGCCUAGGGGAUGGCGAGCCCUGCGCUGGUGGGCAAGCUGUGUGCAUGCACGGGCGUUGUGCCUCCUAUGCCCAGCAGUGCCAGUCACUUUGGGGACCUGGAGCCCAGCCCGCUGCGCCACUUUGCCUCCAGACAGCUAAUACUCGGGGAAAUGCUUUUGGGAGCUGUGGGCGCAACCCCAGUGGCAGUUAUGUGUCCUGCACCCCUAGAGAUGCCAUUUGUGGGCAGCUCCAGUGCCAGACAGGUAGGACCCAGCCUCUGCUGGGCUCCAUCCAGGAUCUACUCUGGGAGACAAUAGAUGUGAAUGGGACUGAGCUGAACUGCAGCUGGGUGCACCUGGACCUGGGCAGUGAUGUGGCCCAGCCCCUCCUGACUCUGCCUGGCACAGCCUGUGGCCCUGGCCUGGUGUGUAUAGACCAUCGAUGCCAGCGUGUGGAUCUCCUGGGGGCACAGGAAUGUCGAAGCAAAUGCCAUGGACAUGGGGUCUGUGACAGCAACAGGCACUGCUACUGUGAGGAGGGCUGGGCACCCCCUGACUGCACCACUCAGCUCAAAGCAACCAGCUCCCUGACCACAGGGCUGCUCCUCAGCCUCCUGGUCUUAUUGGUCCUGGUGAUGCUUGGUGCCAGCUACUGGUACCGUGCCCGCCUGCACCAGCGACUCUGCCAGCUCAAGGGACCCACCUGCCAGUACAGGGCAGCCCAAUCUGGUCCCCCUGAACGGCCAGGACCUCCGCAGAGGGCCCUGCUGGCACAAGGCACUAAGCAGGCUAGUGCUCUCAGCUUCCCGGCCCCCCCUUCCAGGCCGUUGCCGCCUGACCCUGUGUCCAAGAGACUCCAGGUAAAUCUGGGCCAGGGCCCGCCCUGAGCCAAGGCAGGUGGGAGGCUUGGUACCCAACUGCAGUUCUCAUCCCUGCUCCCUGCCAGUGGUGCUCUUCAUUAGGUGAUCGGGGUGCCCCUCAGCCUUCAGACACUCUGAGCCCCAGAAGCAGCAAAGGGUGAGCCUCCUGCCUUGGUUUCUACCACCAUCUGGUGGUCAAUGGCGGGACUGCAGUCGGCCAGGGACUGCGGUUGACCUACACCUUCCUCCCCUGAGACAUCAGCUGGCAU
Molecule: small RNA, 2909 nt
Filed under: Pan troglodytes (chimpanzee)
Lineage: Eukaryota; Metazoa; Chordata; Mammalia; Primates; Hominidae
Description: retained intron
Source: RNAcentral